RNAcentral lists this ribosomal RNA (468 nucleotides) under uncultured bacterium. RNAcentral's name for it is "partial 16S ribosomal RNA". It matches the Rfam family "Bacterial small subunit ribosomal RNA", at positions 28 to 507 of the family's 1533-position model. The record is from RNAcentral.
GACGAACGCUGGCGGCGUGCUUAACACAUGCAAGUCGAACGGAAAGGCCCUGCUUUUGUGGGGUGCUCGAGUGGCGAACGGGUGAGUAACACGUGAGUAACCUGCCCUUGACUUUGGGAUAACUUCAGGAAACUGGGGCUAAUACCGGAUAGGAGCUCCUGCUGCAUGGUGGGGGUUGGAAAGUUUCGGCGGUUGGGGAUGGACUCGCGGCUUAUCAGCUUGUUGGUGGGGUAGUGGCUUACCAAGGCUUUGACGGGUAGCCGGCCUGAGAGGGUGACCGGCCACAUUGGGACUGAGAUACGGCCCAGACUGCUACAUGAGGCAGCAGUGGGGAAUAUUGCACAAUGGGCGGAAGCCUGAUGCAGCAACGCCGCGUGCGGGAUGACGGCCUUCGGGUUGUAAACCGCUUUCGCCUGUGACGAAGCGUGAGUGACGGUAAUGAAUAAAGAAGCACCGGCUAACUACGUG